CAGUGAUUCUGUUCUCUACAGUGAAUCUCUGAUGAUCUGACUCACCCUAAAGGCACAACUAUCCAAAAAUUAAGAACUGCGUGUUUUAACAAAGCUGCCUUUCAAGCUAUUUCUGCAAAAGCCAUUUCAAUUCUUCGCCAUGCGCUCACAGCAUCUGAGUUCUUUAGAAGUUUGCUAACUUUACCAGCGAGGCAGAAGUUCAAGCAACCCCUACUGGGAACAAAUGCAGCAAGCAACAAGGGAGUCCUCGCUGCAAAGACUUGCCCACAGGAAGGAAAAGCGGUGGGCCCACCUUGCCCUGAUGGAGCACAUUGGCUGACACAAACAAGGGUUGACCUUUGUACAAGACGCCUCGAAAACUCACAUCCUUUGGGCUUCGUGGAGCGUGACUGUAGCUUCAGAUCCCUACAAUGGUUCAUUUGUAGGCCAAGAAUUAGAUC
This is a long non-coding RNA of Eublepharis macularius, 440 nucleotides long. RefSeq lists it as uncharacterized. The transcript is spliced from 3 exons. The record is from RefSeq and is a predicted model, not a curated record. NCBI's taxonomy places the organism in Eukaryota, Metazoa, Chordata, Lepidosauria, Squamata, Eublepharidae.